AGUUUUAAAGUUGCUGUUACAGGAAACGGCCACAGUGACAGCCUUUCUUCACACCCAAGUCUGGUUCCCCUGGCAAUCAGAGCCUGGGGGAAAGCCUGUUCCUGGAUUGUCGACAGAAGUGGAAUGUGCCCAAAGUAACACCCAAGGCUUGUGCCUCAUUCCUUCUUCCCUCUUACCCUUUAUCUCUGCUGCUGCUACUGCUGCUAAGUCGCUUCAGUCGUGUCCGACUCUGUGCAACCCCAUAGACGGCAGCCCACCAGGCUCCCCCAUCCCUGGGAUUCUCCAGGCAAGAACACUGGAGUGGGUUGCCAUUUCCUUCUCCAAUGCAUGCAACUGAAAAGUGAAAGUGAAGUCGCUCAGUCGUGUCCAAUUCUUUGCGACCCCAUGGACUGCAGCCUACCAGGCUCCUCCAUCCAUGGGAUUUCCCAGGCAAGAGUACUGGAGUGGAGUGCCAUACCCUUUAUCUCUGGGGUACCCCAAUUCCUGCAGCACCGUUCAGGGGCGCAGGCUCCCAUCUAGGAACCAGAGAGCACCAGGGACUUUUCAAAGCUCUUCCAGCCCCGAGGCUCCACCACGGGGAGCAGUAAGUCUCCUUUCACUGCAGGCGUGCCCGUCUGGAUCCGGAGGUUAUUACAGUGUGUGGAAUAGGCAUUCUGGUGCUGUUCAGUGUUUCCUUGAGGAUGACUUCUUAAACAGUGAAAGGGUGUUAAUCACUCAGUCCCGUCCGACAAUGUGCAACCCCAUUGGCUGUAGCCCACCAGGCUCCUCUGUCCAUGGAAUUCUCCAGAGUCGUGAUUCCAUUGUGUACACGCGUGACUUGUUCUUCAUCCACUCCUCUGUUCAAGGACAUUCUGAUUCCUUCCUUGCCUUAGCAAGUGGAUAUCCUUUAUCCUUUAGAGCCCAGCAAAUUUUGUCAAGAGCUUUGGUGAAAGGACGACACGGGGUUGUAUGAAUAGAGUGGAGUCUAUCAGAACAACACCCAAACGU
This is a long non-coding RNA of Bos taurus (domestic cattle), 987 nucleotides long. The record is from Ensembl. Lineage: Eukaryota; Metazoa; Chordata; Mammalia; Artiodactyla; Bovidae.